CAAUAGCGUAUAUUAAAGUUGUUGCGGUUAAAAAGCUCGUAGUUGGAUUUCUGUUGGGAACGACCGGUCCGCCCAUUGGGUGUGUAUCUGGCUUGUUCUCGGCAUCUUCUUGGUGAACGUUGCUGCACUUGACUGUGUGGAGCGCUACCCAGGACUUUUACUUUGAGGAAAUUAGAGUGUUUCAAGCAGGCAUAUGCCUUGAAUACAUUAGCAUGGAAUAAUAAGAUAGGACCUCGGUUCUAUUUUGUUGGUUUCUAGAGCUGAGGUAAUGAUUAAUAGGGAUAGUUGGGGGCAUUCGUAUUUAACUGUCAGAGGUGAAAUUCUUGGAUUUGUUAAAGACGAACUACUGCGAAAGCAUUUGCCAAGGAUGGUUUCAUUGA
This 380-nucleotide ribosomal RNA is filed under the name uncultured eukaryote. RNAcentral's name for it is "partial 18S ribosomal RNA". It matches the Rfam family "Eukaryotic small subunit ribosomal RNA", at positions 592 to 976 of the family's 1831-position model. The record is from RNAcentral.